Molecule: ribosomal RNA, 200 nt
Filed under: uncultured bacterium
Lineage: Bacteria
Description: partial 16S ribosomal RNA
Rfam family: Bacterial small subunit ribosomal RNA
Source: RNAcentral
UACGUAGGGUGCAAGCGUUAUCCGGAAUUAUUGGGCGUAAAGAGCUCGUAGGCGGUUUGUCGCGUCUGCUGUGAAAACUGGAGGCUCAACCUCCAGCCUGCAGUGGGUACGGGCAAACUAGAGUGCGGGUAGGGGAGAUUGGAAUUCCUGGUGUAGCGGUGGAAUGCGCAGAUAUCAGGAGGAACACCGAUGGCGAAGGC